GAGUUAAUACAGCUCUUUUAGAAUUUUAUUUAGCAGGUUUUCUGAUUUGGUCAGAAAAUCCAA
Molecule: small nuclear RNA, 63 nt
Filed under: Mus spicilegus (steppe mouse)
Lineage: Eukaryota; Metazoa; Chordata; Mammalia; Rodentia; Muridae
Description: U7 small nuclear RNA (ENSMSIG00000019353.1)
Rfam family: U7 small nuclear RNA
About the family: Animal histone pre-mRNAs are spliced by a different mechanism than nuclear pre-mRNAs and self-splicing introns. This processing involves the U7 snRNP, which contains only one RNA species: U7. The 5' end of U7 RNA is thought to base-pair to a conserved spacer element downstream of the cleavage site in histone pre-mRNA.
Source: Rfam by way of RNAcentral